GACGAACGCUGGCGGCGUGCUUAACACAUGCAAGUCGAGCGGUAAGGCCCUUCGGGGUACACGAGCGGCGAACGGGUGAGUAACACGUGGGUGAUCUGCCCUGUACUUCGGGAUAAGCCUGGGAAACUGGGUCUAAUACCGGAUAUGACCUUGGAUUGCAUGGUCUUUGGUGGAAAGAUUUAUCGGUACAGGAUGGGCCCGCGGCCUAUCAGCUUGUUGGUGGGGUAAUGGCCUACCAAGGCGACGACGGGUAGCCGGCCUGAGAGGGCGACCGGCCACACUGGGACUGAGACACGGCCCAGACUCCUACGGGAGGCAGCAGUGGGGAAUAUUGCACAAUGGGCGAAAGCCUGAUGCAGCGACGCCGCGUGAGGGAUGACGGCCUUCGGGUUGUAAACCUCUUUCGACAGGGACGAAGCGCAAGUGACGGUACCUGUAGAAGAAGCACCGGCCAACUACGUG
RNAcentral lists this ribosomal RNA (462 nucleotides) under Nocardia vinacea. RNAcentral's name for it is "bacterial SSU rRNA". It matches the Rfam family "Bacterial small subunit ribosomal RNA", at positions 28 to 507 of the family's 1533-position model. Lineage: Bacteria; Bacillati; Actinomycetota; Actinomycetes; Mycobacteriales; Nocardiaceae. The record is from RNAcentral.